UUCUUGUGAUGAUUAGCCAUGCUAAUACUGAGUAGACAUCAGUCUGGAUGUGCUGGACUAGAUGUACUAUGAGUACAAUUGUUUCUCAUUUCUAUCUGAAGAAU
Small nucleolar RNA from Patella vulgata (common limpet), 104 nucleotides. Lineage: Eukaryota; Metazoa; Mollusca; Gastropoda; Patellidae. The record is from RefSeq and is a predicted model, not a curated record.